GUUCUCGUGGCCUAGUGGUUAUGGCAUCUGUCUUACACACAGAAGAUCCCCGGUUCGAUCCCGGGCGAGAACA
Non-coding RNA from Xylariales sp. No.14919, 73 nucleotides. The record is from the annotation of a GenBank genome assembly. NCBI's taxonomy places the organism in Eukaryota, Fungi, Ascomycota, Sordariomycetes, Xylariales.